ACGAACGCUGGCGGCGUGCCUAAUACAUGCAAGUUGAGCGCUGAAGGUUGGUACUUGUACCCACUGGAUGAGCAGCGAACGGGUGAGUAACGCGUGGGGAAUCUGCCUUUGAGCGGGGGACAACAUUUGGAAACGAAUGCUAAUACCGCAUAAAAACUUUAAACACAAGUUUUAAGUUUGAAAGAUGCAAUUGCAUCACUCAAAGAUGAUCCCGCGUUGUAUUAGCUAGUUGGUGAGGUAAAGGCUCACCAAGGCGAUGAUACAUAGCCGACCUGAGAGGGUGAUCGGCAACAUUGGGACUGAGACACGGCCCAAACUCCUACGGGAGGCAGCAGUAGGGAAUCUUCGGCAAUGGACGAAAGUCUGACCGAGCAACGCCGCGUGAGUGAAGAAGGUUUUCGGAUCGUAAAACUCUGUUGGUAGAGAAGAACGUUGGUGAGAGCGGAAAGCUCAUCAAGUGACGGUAACUACCCAGAAAGGGACGGCUAACUACGUG
This 496-nucleotide ribosomal RNA is filed under the name uncultured bacterium. Its description in RNAcentral is "partial 16S ribosomal RNA". It matches the Rfam family "Bacterial small subunit ribosomal RNA", at positions 29 to 507 of the family's 1533-position model. The record is from RNAcentral.